RNAcentral lists this microRNA (25 nucleotides) under Equus caballus (horse). RNAcentral describes it as "eca-miR-9035". Lineage: Eukaryota; Metazoa; Chordata; Mammalia; Perissodactyla; Equidae. The record is from miRBase by way of RNAcentral.
UGUGGUUGUGGCAUUUUCCCCGGGG